Molecule: transfer RNA, 69 nt
Filed under: Bos taurus (domestic cattle)
Lineage: Eukaryota; Metazoa; Chordata; Mammalia; Artiodactyla; Bovidae
Also listed under: 1 other name
Rfam family: tRNA
About the family: Transfer RNA (tRNA) molecules are approximately 80 nucleotides in length. Their secondary structure includes four short double-helical elements and three loops (D, anti-codon, and T loops). Further hydrogen bonds mediate the characteristic L-shaped molecular structure. tRNAs have two regions of fundamental functional importance: the anti-codon, which is responsible for specific mRNA codon recognition, and the 3' end, to which the tRNAs corresponding amino acid is attached (by aminoacyl-tRNA synthetases). tRNAs cope with the degeneracy of the genetic code in two manners: having more than one tRNA (with a specific anti-codon) for a particular amino acid; and 'wobble' base-pairing, i.e. permitting non-standard base-pairing at the 3rd anti-codon position.
Source: Rfam by way of RNAcentral
CCUGGUGGCUCAGACGGUAAAGCGUCUGCCUGCAGUGCUGGAGACCCGGGUUUGAUUCCUGGGUCAGGA